This is a long non-coding RNA of Lycium barbarum (goji berry), 1325 nucleotides long. RefSeq lists it as uncharacterized. Lineage: Eukaryota; Viridiplantae; Streptophyta; Magnoliopsida; Solanales; Solanaceae. The transcript is spliced from 2 exons. The record is from RefSeq and is a predicted model, not a curated record.
CAAACAAACCCUUAGAGCAAACCUGAGCUGUCUCUUUCAUCUCAGCACGCGUUCCAGCUCAUAAUAGUCGUUUCUAGCAAAGAUUUAAUGGCUUUUUUGACUCGUAUAACCUUUGCUCGUCCAUUUGAGAAAAGGCUUUAAUGUUUUGUCUCCUUCGACAGCUUUGCAGAUGGUAACAUGACCUUUUCUUCUUUUUCUUUGAAUUUUGCUAGACUUCUAUUGGAAGAUUCGGAUUUCAAGGGCUUCUAUGUGAAUUUGAGUUGAGAUUUGGAUUCCAAGGCUAUUUUCUAAUUGUCCCACAUCGGUUGAAGUCCAAAAAUUGGGACUUUUGUUCAACUAUAAAUAGAAGCCCUUUCCCUUCAUUUUAAAAAAAACAAGGUUCUGAGACCAAAAAAUUAGUUCUUACACCAAUAGUGUGUUUUUCACAGCCCCUAGAGUGAGAAAACUCAGGAACCCGGCUAAGCCAUUGAGUUUUGAUGAAGUUCUCAUUCGUAGUCUAAUUUUUGGAAGUCCUUUCCGCUUGUCGGAAAUCGAUUCCGGUGAAAGAGUGUUCGUCGUCAACCCUCGUCGCCCCCGUCGCUGCCCGACAAAAGGCUAUAUGAUACACUUGGAGACAAGAAACUGCUGCAUUUGAGAUGCAUUUUACAUGUUAAGAAACUGUGGGAUUGUUGCUACACUUAGGACACCGCCUAGUAUAAUAAGAAUCAUAUGCCACAUUGAUGUCCCUGGUACUGCACUCUGUUUGCUGCUGCUCCCUUUUGAGAUCUCACGCAAGAUAGCCAAGUAGGAGGUAUCAGUUUACCGCUUUACAAAUUUCUUCAGCCUCAUUUGAUGACGAUCUUAAAGAUGCUGAAACUUGUCUUUAGCAGUUCCAUAGGCUCUCAUUACAUUCACUACCUUCAAGUUAAGCACCUUUCUACUGUCCUACAACCCAAAAGAAUAAGGUCUAAUUUUCUAUAUCAGUGGGGAAAUCUCUGCCAAAUUUGUUUGCUAGAAUAGUUUUCAAUCUAUCUCCAUGAUGGAAAUCAAUUGUAAUUCCUAAACAGACACAAGAAAGGAAAGAUGUAUUACAUACACUAUCCCUCAUCUAGCUUUCAUUAAUCACACUGUUAGCUGUUGGAGAAAAUCAAAGGCACAGAGAAGAGCAAUAAACAAAAUAUAAGAGAGGUGAACAAAUAUUUUGCAGACAUCGAAGACAUACCUGAAGUUCGAUUCACACGCCCAAAUCAAUUUGGAGCAAACCACAUGCAUCUACUUUUUGGAGAAUAAUAAGUUCAAAUCUUUCUUCAGAUUGAGUUGCAACCCGUGAACAUCAAUUCCUAGAG